CAUAUCACUAAGCGGAGAAAAAGAAAAUAACUAUGAUUCCAAAAGUAACGGCGAGUGAAAUUGGACUAGCCCAUAGCCGAAUUCCGUUGUCCUCGACGGCAACUGGAAGUUGUGGCGUUGGGAACUGCCUGUUGUAACCGAUCGGCCGGGCUACGCGACUCCUCUUGAUUGUGGUUUGCCCAUAGCAGGUGAAAGGCCUAUUGGUCGUAGCCUCGUGCAGAAGGCCGGCGGUGAAGGCAGUCCUUAGAGUCGGGUUGUUUGGGAUUGCAGCCCGAAGCAGGUGGUAAACUCCACCUAAGGCUAAAUACGACCGCGAGUCCGAUAGCGAACAAGUACCGUGAGGGACAGUUGAAAAGAACUUUGAAGAGAGAGUUCAAAGUACGUGAAACCGUUCAGAGGUAAACGGGUAGAAAGUCGAAUUGAAGGCUGACAAUCAAGCCGCAGCCGUGUCGGAGUCGGGCUAGCAGCACGUUAAAGGCUGCUGGUUUGCUCGUAUGGCUGGUUGCGGUUGUAUUUGUUGGUCUUGGAUCGCCGCGACGGCAGUGUCUGACCGGCUGGCGCUAGCUCCUCUGGUCGAUGUGGACCCGUAUGGGUCUGUUCGUCGGCACAAGGGGUGGCGUCCCGCGUACACAGCACAGCCGAACCAAUACAGCGAUUUAUGCGUUCCAUCUGGUGGUCGUUCGUCUUGUGUCGGCAGGCUGAACUUAAACAAGCUCAACUGUUGGCAUCAGGGCGGCGGCUGCUGGUUUAACGACGGAACAAAGCUCGCAUUGGCGGCGUUUGACUACGAAUUAUCUACCUGACCCGUCUUGAAACACGGACCAAGGAGUCUAACCUGUGCGCAAGCCAUUGGGACUUAGAUACCUAAAGGCGCAGUGAAAGCAAUAAUGGUGAGAUCUGUCGUUGGUUUGSUAAGAACAACGGCAGCGCAUCAUCGUCACGCCUCAACUCGGCUUCGGCUGAAGAGGCGCAGACUGAGCGCACAAGUUGGGACCCGAAAGAUGGUGAACUAUGCGUGGCGAGGUCGAAGCCAGAGGAAACUCUGGUGGAGGACUGUAGCGGUUCUAACGUGCAAAUUGAUCGUCGCAGCUGCGUAUAGGGGCGAAAGACUAAUCGAACCAUCUAGUAGCUGGUUCCCUCCGAAGUUUCCCUCAGGAUAGCUGGCACUCGUCGGAGCAGUUUUGUCCGGUAAAGCGAAUGACUAGAGGCCUUGGGGACAUAACGACCUCAACCUAUUCUCAAACUUUGAAUGGGCAAGAAGAGYGACUCACUUAAUUGGAGUUGCUUCUACGAAUGCUUGAGUGCCAAGUGGGCCAUUUUUGGUAAGCAGAACUGGCGCUGUGGGAUGAACCAAACGUGCAGCUAAGGUGCCAAAUGCUAACGCUCAUCCGAACCCAUUAAAGGUGUUGGUUGAUAGAGACAGCAGGACGGUGGCCAUGGAAGUCGGAACCCGCCAAGGAGUGUGUAACAACUCACCUGCCGAAUCAACCAGUCCUGAAAAUGGAUGGCGCUGAAGCGUUGCGAACCUAUGCUGUACCGGCAAGACAGAA
This 1550-nucleotide ribosomal RNA is filed under the name Ichthydium squamigerum. Its description in RNAcentral is "eukaryotic LSU rRNA". It matches the Rfam family "Eukaryotic large subunit ribosomal RNA", at positions 39 to 1365 of the family's 3401-position model. The record is from RNAcentral. Lineage: Eukaryota; Metazoa; Gastrotricha; Chaetonotida; Chaetonotidae.